GCGGAAGUGGUGAAACUGGCAGACACGCUAUCUUGAGGGGGUAGUGGAGUAAUCCGUGGGGGUUCGAGUCCCCCCUUCCGCA
RNAcentral lists this transfer RNA (82 nucleotides) under candidate division GN15 bacterium. Its description in RNAcentral is "tRNA-Leu". It matches the Rfam family "tRNA". From Rfam's summary of the family: Transfer RNA (tRNA) molecules are approximately 80 nucleotides in length. Their secondary structure includes four short double-helical elements and three loops (D, anti-codon, and T loops). The record is from RNAcentral.